CCCGUUAGCCGAGUGGUGGUCAGCUAGUGAGCUGAGGCCACUCGUACGCAGUGGCAUUCCCGUGAAUACACGGGCGCCGGCCGGCCGGGGAUUUCGUCGCCGGAGAGUGUAGAGUAGACUGUACAGAGAGAAUUGUUAGCUGUGUAUCAGGAGAAAGAUUAGAGACAGGGGAGGGGAUAUCUAGAGAGAGGGGUCGGGAGGGGCCAAGAUAGAGGGGAGGGUGCGCAGGAAGCUGAUGAGGCUCUUGUCGUUCGUGCCCUGCGGCUGCCGUGCUGGACCCAUCGACGACGCGCCGCCUGCGGAUCAGCUGCAGCAGCAGGCUGCUGCCACGACCACCGGCGCGGCGGCGAGGAGGAGGCGGAGGAGGGCCAGGUCGCUGGGCGGCUCGCCGCAGUGGAGGCCGGCGCUCGGGGACAUCUAUGAGGGUGUCGCGGUGGACGUGGGCAAGGCCGCAGCGGGUGGGCGCGUCGUCCCGGCCAGGCCCGGCAGGGUGGCCUCCAGGGUCCUGCCCCGCGCGCACAGCGACGAAUACAGGCACAUCGAGACGGCGUCGUCGAUGCCGGCGUUCGCGCCGACGGCGUUCCUGUUCUGAUGACGGCGGCGGACCGGCGAUGACGACCACGAAAACCAAGCAGCAGAAUCGGAAAUCUAUAUACAGAUUGCUAUUACUGUCUACGUAUUGCAGGACUAAGGAUCUGUACAGGGAAUAAACCGGCUCCCCUGAUGGCGGGCUGGAUUAAUUAAUUAAUUAAUCAACCACUCCUACUAGUCUAUAUGCGCGUCAGUGCGUGCCGCGUGUACGUAAGUGUGAUGUGUGUGUAUCUCGGCAGGGUACGGUUGCCCUGCCCUGUACAUGCGUCACGUACCAUGCAUGCAUGACCUUGUAAAUCCUAUGUCGAACUCAUGGUGUAAAUGUCAUGUACAUAUAUCUGUAAUAAAAUUAUUAUAGUUUAUAGUAUAAAUCAAAGUAUACGGUACAUCUUACCAAAAC
This 991-nucleotide ribosomal RNA is filed under the name Triticum aestivum (bread wheat). Its description in RNAcentral is "partial small subunit ribosomal RNA". Lineage: Eukaryota; Viridiplantae; Streptophyta; Magnoliopsida; Poales; Poaceae. The record is from RNAcentral.